AUGGCUGCCGCCGGCGGUAUAAGUCCCUCUCCCUACCCUGGUAGCACAGCUGAUGCUGAUCCAUGUGUAGAAGUAUAUGUAUACCGCCGCAAGGAUCAUGUUCCGCUCAUAACUGGUCUCGUCGUGGUGGGCGUGCUCGCCUUGUUCCUCCUGCAUGUGCUGGGGUCCCUACGCCGGAGGUCAAGCCACAAGCUCCUCCACGUCGUGGUGUCGGGAACCUACGCGCUCUCCUACACGCUGGUCAGCUACACCCUCGGGCUCAUGCAGUCUUCCCGGUACUACGUCGACGAGUUCCCGGUGUGGGCGGUGUGCCUGCUGCUGCUCCUCGGCAGCACCGACAGCCUCACCGUGUGCAGCCUCAACGACAUCGACAACUGGAAGAGCUUCUACGUGAAGCACCUCAUCAAGGGGGCGUUGGUGGUCUACAUCUUCGUCUCCGUCGUCUACUUCCGCAUCGACUCGGACUCGCGCUACCUGGAGGUCCCGCUCUGGGCCAUAUUGUUCGUCAUCGUCCUCCAGUCGUACGCGCGGCUGACAUCCAUGAGGAUGGCCAGCAAGUCCCACCUGCUGUGCCAGAACGUCAAGCUCAUCGCCGACUACAUGCAGCACCAAGAGCAGCUGCAACUGCCUCUCAACCCCGUCACCAUGGAAGGCUACCGGUACGUGGUUGGGGGCGAGCGUAGGCAGAGAUACAAGUACCGACCCGGGACCGGGAGUAGGGUAGGGUACAAGGAGGAGGACUACGCCAAGGUCACCACCGUUGAACAGAUCUGGCAAUGCAAAGGGAGCCUGUUGCGCUCCGACACCAAGAAAGGAUCGCAGCUCAAGGACGUGUGCCUCUCCAUGGCCCUGUCCAAGAUGCUCAACCGAAGGUUCGCUGGCUUCCCCCUCGCCGAGGCGGGGCUUGAGAAAACCCGUGCGUUUGUCUUCCAAGGCCUGCUGGCCGGAGGUAGGCAGUACGAGCGAGCAUUCAGGGUCAUUGAGGAAGAGCUUGCUUUCGUCCAUGACCUGUACUACACUAGGUACCCUUACCUCUACCACAAGGGUCGCUUCAUGGCGCUCUGCUUACCUCUGGCCACGGUCAUCCUCUGCUCCUGGCUCACCUAUGAGCUCUUUGCACAUUUCAAGAUUCUCAAGCAAAACGAGCACCACUCUGACAUAUAUCUCUACACCACACUUAUCUUAAUGGCCGGAGUGACAUUCUUGGAGGUGUUCCAGCUGUAUCUGCACAUGGCGUCAGGUUGGCUCAAGGUAGCGUUGAUCCGGAGCUACGUCACCAGGCCUCUGCUGCAGAAGAGAGGCUGGUUCUUUCACAUAAUCAUGAGGCUCCUCUUGGGCUUGAAGACGCUCCGGCCAUGGGAGGAAAAGCUUGGGCGGUACUCUCUCCUGGACGAGUUCGAUGGUCGAACUAGCAAUUUUCUUCACUAUGUGACACUAUGCCUGGUCGACAAGGCACAGGAGGGGCGUAGGAAAAAGAAGCCACUCAAGCUGCCCGGACAGGUGAAGCAAGCAGUCGUUGAUGCUCUCAUCGGAAGUAAUGGCCGCCUGACCAACGGGGUAAGAUCGCUGGAGAAGAAUCGCGUCCUUGAGAAGCUACCGGCGGCGUGCAAAGCUAGCAAUGGCACGGCCACAUACACCAUGCUGGUCUGGCACAUUGCCACAACCGUCUGCAAGCACCAGCUAGAUCAACAUCCGGAAGACAAGAAGCUGCUGGCGCCCUCCAAAGAGGACACAGGUGCAGUUGACACGUACUUGGUGGCCACCAGUUUGUCGGAUUACUGUGCUUACCUCGUCGCUUUCGCGCCCGACCUCUUGCCCGGGCACAGCUCUGACUCGGCAUUGAUGCUCAGCGAAACAGUCGCCGAAGCGCGCCAUUUGCUCCAAGGGGCAAAGAAGAUGGAGGGCAAGUGUAAGAAACUGAUGAGCCUCGUGGAUGAUGUUGGUGAUGAUGCUGAUGCAUCACUCGUCCUACUUGGUGGCCGGCUCGCGAGGCAGCUCACUGAGGAAAUCGAGGGACCGGUGCUGCGCUGGAAGGUGCUCUCUGAUUUCUGGGCAGAGAUGAUGCUGUACAUCGCGCCGUGUGAGGACGCCCAGGCCCGCGCUCACCUAGAGGCCCUAGCAAGAGGAGGGGAGUUCAUCACCCACCUCUGGGCGCUGCUCACGCACACUGGCAUGCUGAAGCGUGACCCUGCUGGGUCACGGGCGGUCUGA
Molecule: ribosomal RNA, 2211 nt
Filed under: Triticum aestivum (bread wheat)
Lineage: Eukaryota; Viridiplantae; Streptophyta; Magnoliopsida; Poales; Poaceae
Description: partial small subunit ribosomal RNA
Source: RNAcentral